This 253-nucleotide ribosomal RNA is filed under the name uncultured bacterium. RNAcentral's name for it is "partial 16S ribosomal RNA". It matches the Rfam family "Bacterial small subunit ribosomal RNA", at positions 524 to 776 of the family's 1533-position model. The record is from RNAcentral.
UACGAAGGGGGCUAGCGUUGCUCGGAAUCACUGGGCGUAAAGGGCGCGUAGGCGGGUCCGCAAGUCCGGGGUGAAAGCCCCCAGCUCAACUGGGGAAGUGCCUCGGAUACUGCGGACCUCGAGGGGGGUAGGGGCGGGCGGAACUUCCGGUGGAGCGGUGAAAUGCGUAGAUAUCGGAAGGAACGCCGGUGGCGAAAGCGGCCCGCUGGACCCUCUCUGACGCUGAGGCGCGAAAGCCAGGGGAGCAAACGGG